GAUGAAGAACGCAGCGAAAUGCGAUAAGUAGUGUGAAUUGCAGAAUUCAGUGAAUCAUCGAAUCUUUGAACGCACAUUGCGCCCCUUGGUAUUCCAUGGGGCAUGCCUGCUCGAGCGUCAUUUGUACCUUCAAGCUCUGCUUGGUGUUGGGUGUUUGUCUCGCCUCUGCGUGUAGACUCGCCUCAAAACAAUUGGCAGCCGGCGUAUUGAUUUCGGAGCGCAGUACAUCUCGCGCUUUGCACUCAUAACGACGACGUCCAAAAGUACAUUUUUACACUCUUGACCUCGGAUCAGGUAGGGAUACCCGCUGAACUUAAGCAUAUCAAUAAGCGGAGGA
Molecule: unclassified non-coding RNA, 337 nt
Filed under: soil metagenome
Description: partial contains 5.8S ribosomal RNA, internal transcribed spacer 2, and large subunit ribosomal RNA
Rfam family: 5.8S ribosomal RNA (bases 1-120)
Source: RNAcentral